Paramormyrops kingsleyae is the source of this 3873-nucleotide non-coding RNA. The record is from RefSeq and is a predicted model, not a curated record. NCBI's taxonomy places the organism in Eukaryota, Metazoa, Chordata, Actinopteri, Osteoglossiformes, Mormyridae.
GACGCUCCCACAGGAGAUGGGACCCCCCCGCGCCCUCCCAACACUCCAGGCAGCAAGCUUCAGAAUGAGAGAUAAGCUCACCAAUGAGAAUGCAGUUUGGUCGCCUUUUCUCCAACCCCCCCGAUAGGCCCCAGCGCUGCGGCUGAUUUCCCUGCUCCCCACAGCCUGUUCUUUGCAUUUCUGAGAGUCUGCUCUCCUGACACACACAUCAAAGUCUGCGAGGUGGACGUCUUCUCUCCGUGUUAAACUACAGACCCAGUAUACACGCAAGAUUUGAAGUACCAGUAAUGUAAUUUGUGACAGAUUUUUUUGUGUAUAAAGAAAUCCACCCAUCUUCGGCUUAUUCUAGACACAGUCAUGGUUAUAUAAAGAACUACUUGUAUAUUUAACUUGUAUAUUUAAUACACAAAUAGAAGCACAAGAAUGUAAUUACCAUGUCUACAUAAUCAGCAUAAAAGUGUUUCAUCUGAUACUCUUUUCUUGCAGAUGUUUCAUGUCUUGGGGAUUACAGCAUACCGCGCUAAUUAUGUUACUGAAAAAUACAGAGAGUGGGUAAUUAUGUUUACAGAAUCUAAUGUGUCUAAGUUAAUCUGAUGUUAAACUGUUAACCAAAAAGUUGUUAAGUCAGAGUGUGUGAGUGUCUUGCGUGACUAAACUCCCUUUUCACUGACUCGCUCAGCCAUGAGGGGUGUCUGUGUGACAGUGACCUAGCUGUGGGUGACAGAGGAGGACCAAUACAGCCACUGUGGGUGACAGAGGAGGAUCAAUACAGCCAGUGGGUGACAGAGGAGGACCAAUACAGCCACUGUGGGUGACAGAGGAGGACCAAUACAGCCACUGUGGGUGACAGAGGAGGACCAAUACAGCCAGUUGCAUUCAAGAUGUUAUCAGAGAGGUCAUAAAUAUCAGUAAUGGAACCCAGUGAUCAGGUGUUCCAUCCAACAAGGAGAACUCAGCUGGAGGGAGCGGAUGUGUGUGCAGAAUAGCUGUAUCGUUACGUCACGCACCGAGAGAGAGGAACCCAGACCAAAGGCACAACUGCAGUUCUGGGGACUUCAGGCUUGCUGUGCAGUUCUGGGAUUGUCGCUCUAACCAGGUGUGAUAAGCAGCCUCAAGUCACCUGCAUUUAUACCACAGAUAUAAGGCAUGAUUCUGCAACCCAACUUCCAAAAAAGUUGGGAUGCUGGGUAAAAUGUGAAUAAAAACAGAAUGCAAUGAUUUGCAAAUCGUAUAAAACCAUAUUUAAUUGAAAAUAGAACGAAGACAACAUGCCAAAUGCUGUAUCUGAGAAAUGUUAUCUUUUUAUGUCAAAUAUAAGCUCAAUUUGAAUUUGAUGCCAGCAACACGUUUAGAAAAUGCUGGGACAAUGGCAUGUUUACCAUGGUGCUGCGUCACCUCCUCUUCUAACAACAAUAUGUAAAUGUUUGGGGACUGAGGAGACCAGUUGCUGGGGUUUUGAAGGUGAAAUGUUGUCCCAUUCUUGCCUGAUAUAGGCUUUGAACUGCUCAACAGUUCUGGGUCUCUUUUGUCAUAUUUUUUGUUUCAUGACGCACCAAAUGUUUUCAAUGGGUGACAGGUCUGGACUGCAGGCAGGCCAGUCUAGCACCCAGACUCCGACUAUGGAGCCAUGCUGUUGUAAUACUUGCAGAAUGUGUUUUGGCAUCGUCUUGCUGAAAUAUACAAGGCCUUCUUUGAAAAAGAUGGAUGGCAGCACAUGACACUCAAACAUUUUUGGAACAAAUGUUUUUAUAAAAUGAAUCUAAACUUGGUACAUUUCUGGCUUUUGUAGUGUGUACCUGACAAAUUAACGAGUUCUGCAAGUAUUGGCAGUGUUCACAUUUUAUGAAUUUUACAAUGGCAGACAGCAGACUGCAAGGCAGAUAUGGGCAUCCUAGUUCAACUUCCUAAAAGAACAUUACUGUUGUUUCUGGCUCUAUACAUUUCUCUAGACUCCAGGCAGUCUUCUCAGUAUGUCCAUGAUACCAUAUAGACAGAUUCCCUCCCCUAACAUCAGUACUGUAUACGGCUAGGUCCAAAAAAGAUACAGACCUUACUACACUUUCAAGAGUCUUUACCUUGACCUGAAGGUAAUCGUAGGCCAGUGUUUGCCUUAGUCAAGUAAGAAAUGGUUAAUCAACAUCUUUUCUUUUCUUUCGCUCUGCUCAAAAUCAGUCGCAGUUAUGCGAUUGUGCUAUCCCAGCAAAAUUAAAUUAAAAACUAAACGGCCCAUUACCCUCGCUUUCAGAUGCAUCAUAACUCACCCUGCAAUGUCAGUCCCUCCAAGGCCCUUUGGGGUUCUGCAUGUCCAACUUUCCAAAACAUUUCCUUAAUGUGAUUCCUCAGAAAACCAAACUGACAGCCCAAAUGAGAUGACUAUACUAACAGCAAUCAUUGAAUGGGGAAGUCUUACAUACCACACAGCUGCUAUAUAUUACAGACUUUAUUUGCCCAGAAUGGUGACACUAGCAUUCAGCAGUGGUUUCAUCUCUUCAAGAUCCCAGCUACCACCACCCAUGGGCCCAGAGUUCCUUAAACUGGUGUAAACUGAUGUGGGUCACAAUUCCCUUUCAGUACUGGGAGGUGUUUCCCUGCAGCACAGCCAUAAUCACACCUCUUGAACUUCCAGAAGCCAUGUGAAUAUCCUGUGCAGCGGGAAGAUCCAGGAAACAGAGAGGGCCUCUUCAAAUACAGCGCUCCCAUGUUGUAGCUUAGCAGCUAUAGAAGAUCUCGCAUUCAGGGCUCCAGAGAACUUCCAUUGGGAGCUGGUGAUGAUGAGCGAUGGGGAAUUUGAGGGAUGAGAGUGCUUGUAUCCAGAAAACGACAAACAAAAAUCAUGUGAUGUGACUUUGGGAUGAGGGACCUGAGAUCCACCUUAAUAAGAUGCAACUGCCUCAGAUAGUUAAAUGCAGCCCACAGCCCCAUGGGAAACGAAACGCAACAGAUGUCUUAAGCCCAGUCUGAACCCCACAGAGACCAUGAAAACAAGAGGCUAUUUUCCUUAAUGAGCAAAAGAUUGUUUUUUUUUUCCAGCUCUCUGGAACUACUUUCCAAUGUGGCAGUGGAAUGCCGUUAUUGUCAGUACAAGUCCCGCCCAUUGUCCAGCUAAUUCCAAAAGAAUGGUCCAUCAAGAAACCUUCAGAACUAUUUUUAUAGGUAUUGAAAAACGCUGUAAUUGUAGGCACCACUAUAAAAAUAAAAUAUGAAUGUUUUUCUCACUUGUGAAAUGUGAACUGAUAUGCUCAUCAAAAACCGUUAAGAUGACAGAACACAGAUGGCUUGGAGGAGAGAGAAGGGGCUUUUAUUACCUUUGAAUGCUUUGAAAGCCUUUGCAGGGUAAUCCUUCUGCUCUUUUCCUAUCAUUUACUCAGCUUUUAGUGUCAUGUUAUGAUUAAGUUCUCAGACAGACAUUUGCCGUCCCGACAGAGUCGAGUUGCUGCUUACUCCAGCCUCCUAGCAAUUUGAAUGUUUUCCAAGGAUGCAAAAUAAACGAACCGAGCAGAACUGGGUGGGGUCACACAUGAGGUCAGACAUUUUCUGGCACAUAAAUGAUCCCUUGAAUUUCUAUACCUUGUCUCCUUCCCUGGAAUGGUGGGGUGGUUUAUUUAAAAAACAGCAGUGGACUCGGCAAUCUUUCAGAAAAAGACGGCUUCAUCCUGAAGACUGAGCGUACUGUCAUCAUGUAUUCAUGUGGAUGCUGAAACCAGUUUGGCCUGUUUACACACAGCCAUGCUGACAUAGUCUUCCUGGUUAGAGUCCCAGGUAGCAGGUUAGUGUAAUUCUGAUUCUCUCUCCUGUAAAAUUGCCUGGCUGUAUAAAUGUGUAAAAACAUACUAAGGAAUGGCAGUAAGCAAAUACACAUUUAUGAAAAUCAAA